Oxyura jamaicensis (ruddy duck) is the source of this 1932-nucleotide long non-coding RNA. RefSeq lists it as uncharacterized. The record is from RefSeq and is a predicted model, not a curated record. The transcript has 2 exons. Lineage: Eukaryota; Metazoa; Chordata; Aves; Anseriformes; Anatidae.
UCCUUUUCUAUUGUAAAGUAGUGUUAUAUAUUGAAACAAACUGAAUCUUGAGUUUACUUUGAGUUUCAGGAAAAAAUCAGGGAAAGACUGCAGUCUUGAUGAUCCAAUGUACAUUCAGCAGUUAUAUGCCAAUUAAAUAACCCAGGAAUAAAAACUGUUACUUUUAGGACUUGCAUAUGGGUAGUAGCAAGAGAUACAUUGGUAAAACAGGAAUAAUUGAAUGUCUCUGCAUUUCCACCUGCUUAGCAUAAGGCAGAAGGUCUUUUCUGAUCAAAAAGUUGUCUAGGAGUCUGACAUAUGUGGUAGUUAAUUACAAUCAGAAACAUGAAACACAUAACUAUUAACUGCUUUCUCACACCUCUGACAAAGGUUACUGUUCCCACAAAAAGACAGCUGAACAGCUCAUAAAGAACAACUUCCUGAAAUCCCAGCAGAUUUGCACUAUAACACCAGACUUCUGUAAACUUCUGUGACUCAGAAGCUACUUUACAACCUGUUUGGUCAUCUUGUCUGCCUGCACAGCAACCCCUGUCAGAGGUGGAAAACACUUCAGACAUCUUUUUCUAGCUUCCUUUCCCACCAGAGUCAGAAUUUGGUACACAUUUAGACAAAAAUGGGCUACAGUGGGUCAGCAGCAGCAAUGGCAUCUGUGUAGAUAAACCCCGAAUUCUUUCUUGUGACUGGCAUCAGAAAAAGGAAGAAUAGCCUAAGAAGCUGUUGAAAUGAUUUAGUAGUCAUUUACAUACCAUGUCUAUAACCAAAACUCAAGUACUAUCAUUAGUUUUAAUUAUUCAAAGACUGGAGUACCAUUAAAUAUAUCCUAAAUUCUGUACAUCUAUACACAACAACAUUUUGAAAAUGUGGUAAUUUGUAUAGAAGACCAGCAAUGAAAAAGAAAAUUGGUUAAAUGUGACAGAACACUAAUAUUGAUGUAUGCCCUACUUUGUUUAUUUUCUUCAGUUUACAAGCACUGAGGAAGGAAAAGUCUCGAGAUGCUGCUCGAUCUCGCCGGGGAAAGGAGAAUUUUGAAUUCUAUGAGUUGGCAAAGUUGUUGCCGCUGCCUGCAGCCAUUACCAGCCAGCUUGACAAGGCAUCCAUCAUCCGACUCACAAUUAGCUAUCUGAAAAUGAGGGACUUUGCUAAUCAAGGCGAUCCUCCAUGGAACCUGAGAAUGGAAGGACCUCCACCUAAUACAUCAGUAAAAGGGAUACAAAUGUGGAAAUCUGAGGUCUGCAUGAGAAAGACACCAUGUGAAGGUGAAAUAAACCUCUUAUUUUAUAUACUUUUAUUUAACAACAAACCUGUUGAUAUAAGUAUUACAGCUCUAAGUUUUCUGGGUAAAAGAUUAAAACAUUCAAAGUUAUUUAGCAAUGAUUGUGUUACUUUUCCUAUUCUAAUAUUCUAUGAAAGGAUGCAUUUGAGAGGAACAUGGUGUUAUUCCUUGAUUUGAGAACGCAGUCUCUUAAUUCUGUCACUAAAACUUAAAGGCAGAAUCAUGUUGUCUCCCUGUUCACGAACAUAACAUCCAAAUUUUUAAAUAUUCAGAUCAGAGACCAGGAUUUUAUUCAUCAUCAUUUAAUGUGUAUAGAAAUUAUUUUUGACGUUUGAGCCUGUAUGCAUUUAUCAAGACUUCAGCCAAAAUAUGAUAUUUUCAAUAUUAAACACCCUCUUUUCAUGCUUAAACAAGCUAUUGAGCCAUAAAUGUUUUAGACAUGAGUCGCCAUAGAAGUCUGUUAAUAGAAGAAUCGGAGAUUUGUUUUUAGAGGCUGUAUGCGUGUUGGUCCUGACUAGUGUUUCCAGUAACUUGUAUAAACUGAACCUUUUGUGUAGUUUUUUAUUCAUGCUAUGUAUAUAGAAGAGUGUGGUCUUGCUGUCUGAUAAGUAUUUUAAACUAGUGUGAGAGAACCUUAUUAAACUACAACUGUCCAUGAA